AAUGAACGCUGGCGGCAUGCCUAACACAUGCAAGUCGAACGAAGGCUUCGGCCUUAGUGGCGCACGGGUGCGUAACGCGUGGGAAUCUGCCCUCAGGUUCGGAAUAACAGCGAGAAAUUGCUGCUAAUACCGGAUGAUAUCGCGAGAUCAAAGAUUUAUCGCCUGAGGAUGAGCCCGCGUAGGAUUAGCUAGAUGGUGUGGUAAAGGCGCACCAAGGCGACGAUCCUUAGCUGGUCUGAGAGGAUGAUCAGCCACACUGGGACUGAGACACGGCCCAGACUCCUACGGGAGGCAGCAGUGGGGAAUAUUGGACAAUGGGCGAAAGCUUGAUCCAGCAAUGCCGCGUGAGUGAUGAAGGCCUUAGGGUUGUAAAGCUCUUUUACCCGGGAUGAUAAUGACAGUACCGGGAGAAUAAGCUCCGGCUAACUCCGUGCCAGCCGCCGCAGUAA
RNAcentral lists this ribosomal RNA (449 nucleotides) under uncultured bacterium. Its description in RNAcentral is "partial 16S ribosomal RNA". It matches the Rfam family "Bacterial small subunit ribosomal RNA", at positions 29 to 523 of the family's 1533-position model. The record is from RNAcentral.